This is a long non-coding RNA of Helianthus annuus (common sunflower), 208 nucleotides long. RefSeq lists it as uncharacterized. The record is from RefSeq and is a predicted model, not a curated record. NCBI's taxonomy places the organism in Eukaryota, Viridiplantae, Streptophyta, Magnoliopsida, Asterales, Asteraceae. The transcript has 3 exons.
AUACGGACGCCUCCCCCUGCUCUAAUACAGUAACCUCAGGGCAAGAUGAUCGAGAGAUCUGAUUCUCUGUUUUUCCAUCAGUCCGCUCACUGUACACAUCGAUCUCUCUUUGCUCUAUGUGGAUCGGAUCAUAACAUGUUGAUUCUUCAUAGGUAUCUCGCCUUCUCCAAGUACAGAGGUCUUAAAGGUCGUAAAUUUUCGGAGAAUU